CAAGGCAUACGGCUCAGUAACGCGUAGUCAACCUAACCUAUGGACGGGAAUAACCUCGGGAAACUGAGAAUAAUGCCCGAUAGAACAUUAUGCCUGGAAUGGUUUAUGUUCCAAAUGAUUUAUCGCCGUAGGAUGGGACUGCGGCCUAUCAGUUUGUUGGUGAGGUAAUGGCCCACCAAGACUAUUACAGGUACGGGCUCUGAGAGGAGUAGCCCGGAGAUGGGUACUGAGACACGGACCCAGGCCCUAUGGGGCGCAGCAGGCGAGAAAACUUUGCAAUGUGCGAAAGCACGACAAGGUUAAUCCGAGUGGUUUCUGCUAAAGAAACCUUUUGUCAGUCCUAGAAACACUGAUGAAUAAGGGUGGGCAAGUUCUGGUGU
Molecule: ribosomal RNA, 380 nt
Filed under: uncultured archaeon
Lineage: Archaea
Description: bacterial SSU rRNA
Rfam family: Archaeal small subunit ribosomal RNA
Source: RNAcentral